CCUACGGGUGGCAGCAGUGAGGAAUAUUGGUCAAUGGACGAGAGUCUGAACCAGCCAAGUAGCGUGAAGGAUGACUGCCCUAUGGGUUGUAAACUUCUUUUAUAUGGGAAUAAAACGUUCCACGUGUGGGAUUUUGUAUGUACCAUAUGAAUAAGGAUCGGCUAACUCCGUGCCAGCAGCCGCGGUAAUACGGAGGAUCCGAGCGUUAUCCGGAUUUAUUGGGUUUAAAGGGAGCGUAGGUGGAUUGUUAAGUCAGUUGUGAAAGUUUGCGGCUCAACCGGAAAAUUGCAGUUGAAACUGGCAGUCUUGAGUACAGUAGAGGUGGGCGGAAUUCGGGGUGUAGCGGUGAAAUGCUUAGAUAUCACGAAGAACUCCGAUUGCGAAGGCAGUUCACUGGACUGCAACUGACACUGAGGCUCGAAAGUGUGGGUAUCAAACAGGAUUAGAUACCCCGGUAGUC
RNAcentral lists this ribosomal RNA (460 nucleotides) under uncultured bacterium. Its description in RNAcentral is "partial 16S ribosomal RNA". It matches the Rfam family "Bacterial small subunit ribosomal RNA", at positions 338 to 795 of the family's 1533-position model. The record is from RNAcentral.